Molecule: ribosomal RNA, 510 nt
Filed under: uncultured bacterium
Lineage: Bacteria
Description: partial 16S ribosomal RNA
Rfam family: Bacterial small subunit ribosomal RNA
Source: RNAcentral
GACGAACGCUGGCGGCGUGCUUAACACAUGCAAGUCGAACGAAGAGCGAUGGAAGCUUGCUUCUAUCAAUCUUAGUGGCGCACGGGUGAGUAACGCGUAAUCAACCUGCCCUUCAGAGGGGGACAACAGUUGGAAACGACUGCUAAUACCGCAUACGAUCUAAUCUCGGCAUCGAGGAUAGAUGAAAGGUGGCCUCUACAUGUAAGCUAUCACUGAAGGAGGGGAUUGCGUCUGAUUAGCUAGUUGGAGGGGUAACGGCCCACCAAGGCGAUGAUCAGUAGCCGGUCUGAGAGGAUGAACGGCCACAUUGGGACUGAGACACGGCCCAGACUCCUACGGGAGGCAGCAGUGGGGAAUCUUCCGCAGUGGACGAAAGUCUGACGGAGCAACGCCGCGUGAGCGAUGACGGCCUUCGGGUUGUAAAGCUCUGUUAAUCGGGACGAAAGGCCUUCUUGCGAAUAGUGAGAAGGAUUGACGGUACCGGAAUAGAAAGCCACGGCUAACUACGUG